This 459-nucleotide ribosomal RNA is filed under the name uncultured bacterium. RNAcentral's name for it is "partial 16S ribosomal RNA". It matches the Rfam family "Bacterial small subunit ribosomal RNA", at positions 338 to 795 of the family's 1533-position model. The record is from RNAcentral.
CCUACGGGUGGCAGCAGUGAGGAAUAUUGGUCAAUGGCCGAGAGGCUGAACCAGCCAAGUCGCGUGAGGGAAGACGGCCCUACGGGUUGUAAACCUCUUUUGUCGGGGAGCAAAGCGAACCACGUGUGGUUCAUUGAGAGUACCCGAAGAAAAAGCAUCGGCUAACUCCGUGCCCGCAGCCGCGGUAAUACGGGGGAUGCGAGUGUUAUCCGGAUUUAUUGGGUUUAACGGGUGCGCAGGCGGAGGUGCAAGUCAGCGGUCAAAUUGCGGGGCUCAACCCCGUACUGCCGUUGAAACUGCAUCCCUUGAGUGCGCGAGAAGUAUGCGGAAUGCGCGGUGUAGCGGUGAAAUGCAUAGAUAUCACGCAGAACUCCGAUUGCGAAGGCAGCAUACCGGCGCGCAACUGACGCUCAUGCACGAAAGCGUGGGUAUCGAACAGGAUUAGAUACCCGAGUAGUC